RNAcentral lists this ribosomal RNA (566 nucleotides) under uncultured archaeon. RNAcentral describes it as "bacterial SSU rRNA". It matches the Rfam family "Archaeal small subunit ribosomal RNA", at positions 326 to 896 of the family's 1478-position model. The record is from RNAcentral.
CGGGGUGCAGCAGGCGCGAAAACUUUACAAUGCGGGAAACCGUGAUAAGGGGACACCGAGUGCCAGCAUCAUAUGCUGGCUGUCCGGGUGUGUAAAAUACACCCGUUAGCAAGGGCCGGGCAAGACCGGUGCCAGCCGCCGCGGUAACACCGGCGGCCCGAGUGGUGAUCGUGAUUAUUGGGUCUAAAGGGUCCGUAGCCGGUUUGGUCAGUCCUCCGGGAAAUCUGACGGCUCAACCGUUAGGCUUUCGGGGGAUACUGCCAGGCUUGGAACCGGGAGAGGUAAGAGGUACUACAGGGGUAGGAGUGAAAUCUUGUAAUCCCUGUGAGACCACCUGUGGCGAAGGCGUCUUACCAGAACGGGUUCGACGGUGAGGGACGAAAGCUGGGGGCACGAACCGGAUUAGAUACCCGGGUAGUCCCAGCCGUAAACGAUGCUCGCUAGGUGUCAGGCAUGGCGCGACCGUGUCUGGUGCCGCAGGGAAGCCGUGAAGCGAGCCACCUGGGAAGUACGGCCGCAAGGCUGAAACUUAAAGGAAUUGGCGGGGGAGCACAAGGGCGAAUCGC